UAAACGACUCUCGGCAACGGAUAUCUCGGCUCUCGCAUCGAUGAAGAACGUAGCGAAAUGCGAUACUUGGUGUGAAUUGCAGAAUCCCGUGAACCAUCGAGUCUUUGAACGCAAGUUGCGCCCGAAGCCUUGGCUGAGGGCACGCCUGCCUGGGUGUCACGCAK
RNAcentral lists this ribosomal RNA (164 nucleotides) under Combretum imberbe. RNAcentral describes it as "5.8S ribosomal RNA". It matches the Rfam family "5.8S ribosomal RNA". Rfam says of the family: 5.8S ribosomal RNA (5.8S rRNA) is a component of the large subunit of the eukaryotic ribosome. Lineage: Eukaryota; Viridiplantae; Streptophyta; Magnoliopsida; Myrtales; Combretaceae. The record is from RNAcentral.